This 492-nucleotide ribosomal RNA is filed under the name uncultured bacterium. Its description in RNAcentral is "partial 16S ribosomal RNA". It matches the Rfam family "Bacterial small subunit ribosomal RNA", at positions 29 to 507 of the family's 1533-position model. The record is from RNAcentral.
AGUGAACGCUGGCGGUAGGCCUAACACAUGCAAGUCGAACGGCAGCACAGUAAGAGCUUGCUCUUACGGGUGGCGAGUGGCGGACGGGUGAGGAAUACAUCGGAAUCUACUUUUUCGUGGGGGAUAACGUAGGGAAACUUACGCUAAUACCGCAUACGACCUACGGGUGAAAGCAGGGGAUCUUCGGACCUUGCGCGAUUGAAUGAGCCGAUGUCGGAUUAGCUAGUUGGCGGGGUAAAGGCCCACCAAGGCGACGAUCCGUAGCUGGUCUGAGAGGAUGAUCAGCCACACUGGAACUAAGACACGGUCCAGACUCCUACGGGAGGCAGCAGUGGGGAAUAUUGGACAAUGGGCGCAAGCCUGAUCCAGCCAUACCGCGUGCGUGAAGAAGGCCUUCGGGUUGUAAAGCCCUUUUGUUGGGAAAGAAAAGCAGCAGGUUAAUACCCCGCUGUUCUGACGGUACCCAAAGAAUAAGCACCGGCUAGCUUCGUG